GGUGAGUCCUCCAUUCCGGGGACGUUGCUCAUGAUCUUUUGCUAUGUAUAAGAGUUUUUCUUUUUAGUUGUGUUUUGUCUAUGAGGGUGAGCCUGGUAGUUUGUCUUGGCCCCCGCUAAGUACUCAUGUUUAGAGGUGGUGUUGGACAAGUUGUGUAUUAUGCUUGAGCUUGACUCAUCUAUGAUAUUUUUGUAUCAUUCUUAUUUUUUUGUU
This 213-nucleotide long non-coding RNA is filed under the name Solanum tuberosum (potato). Its description in RNAcentral is "long non-coding RNA (STUB_LNC008015)". The record is from RNAcentral. Lineage: Eukaryota; Viridiplantae; Streptophyta; Magnoliopsida; Solanales; Solanaceae.